RNAcentral lists this small RNA (126 nucleotides) under Coprococcus sp. CAG:782. RNAcentral describes it as "GA-cis RNA". It matches the Rfam family "GA-cis RNA". The record is from Rfam by way of RNAcentral. Lineage: Bacteria; Bacillati; Bacillota; Clostridia; Lachnospirales; Lachnospiraceae.
CGGAGGAAGCACCAAGUGUCGAAGACACACUUUAAAUGGUGCUGACGAACUGCCGCCGAGAGAUUGUGCCCAUGCGUUGAAAACGCAUAUUGGCGUUACCUGUAAUGCGAGGCGGCAAUACCAGAC